UUUUUUAAACAAGACCGCCUACACUUUUGCAAUUGCACAUGCGUCACAGCACGUGACAUCAUGAUUGCCAACAUUUCAAUAUCUAAUACUAAUUCCAGAAUGCUCCCAAAAUGUUCAUAUAGGUUAUGUUAUAUCAACAGAAGUAACACUUUAACACGUCAACAAACGUUUCAUUUUCUAUUCAACGUAUAACAAUUAACCACACUCAACUUAGUAAAAUGAUAACUGACGUGCAGCUAGCAAUUUUCUCGAACAUCUUGGGAGUAACUCUCUUCUUUUUGGUUUUCCUUUAUCAUUACAUCAAUGCCAAUUACUCAAGAUGAGAAAAAAAGACAUGUUGUCUAUUUAACCAUCAAUAAAUUAUAAUAUACUCUAAUAAAGUAUGUAAGCUCCUACAAUAAAAGAUUUUUAAUUUUCA
Molecule: long non-coding RNA, 418 nt
Organism: Phymastichus coffea
Lineage: Eukaryota; Metazoa; Arthropoda; Insecta; Hymenoptera; Eulophidae
Exons: 2
Source: RefSeq, a predicted model, not a curated record